GGGGUGAGGAGGGGUCCGGGGUGGGCGUGCGAGGGACCAAGAUGAGCGCGCGGGGGUCCAGGUGGGCGUGCAAGGGUCCGAGGUGAGCGUGGCAGGGUCUGGGUGGGUGUGUGAGGGUCUGGGUGAGUGUGCAAAGGGUCCGGGUGGGCGUGCAAGGCUCAGGGGUGGGUGUGCAAGGGUCUGAGAUGAGCGUGCAAGGCUCAGGGUGGGUGAGCGUGCAAGGCUCAAGGAUGAGCGUGGAGUGGUCUGGGUGGGUGUGCAAGGCUCAGGGUGGGUGAGUGUGCAAGGCUCAGGGAUGAGCGUGCAAGGCUCAGGGUGGGUGUGCAAGGCUCAGGGUGGGUGUGCAAGGCUCAGGGAUGGGUGUGCAAGGCUCAGGGUGGGUGAGUGUGCAAGGCGCCGCUGCGGUGCCGCAGGGGCGUGCAAGGGCCGGGCAGGGGCGGGGAAGGUGCUGGAAGGAGCCGGGGGGGCGUGCAAGGGACACGGGGGGUGUGCCAGGUGUGCCAGGUGUGCCAGGUGUGCCAGGUGUGCCAGGGACACCCAAGGGACACCCAGGGGACACCCAAGGGACACCCAGGGGACACCCGGGGCUGCCAGGCCCCCCCGGCCCGGCCGCGAGGCGGCUGCUGCGUCACCCGGGGCUGCACACGCGUGUCCCCUGCGUGUCCCCGAGCGUGUCACGCGUACCUGAGCGUGUCACGCGUGUCCUCUGCGCGUGUCCCCGAGCGUGUCACGCGUGUCCCUGCGGCCUUGGCCCCGCGCCAGUGAUGCCACCAGGCCCCAGAUUCCUGAUGUCCCCAAACCCCGAUGUCCCCAAACCCCGAUGUCCCCAAAUCCCGAUGUCCCCAAAUCCCUGUCCCUGUCUGCAUCCCUGCGCCCGUGUCCCCGUCCCGAUGUCCCCGAGUCAAUCCCGGUGUCCCAGUCCCGGUGUCCCAAAUCCCGGUGUCCCCGUGUCCUUGUCCCUGUGCCAGUGGCACUGCCAGGCCCCGAGGUCCCUGUCCCCAUAUCCCUCCUGUCCCCAUCCUGGUGCCGAUCCCAAUGUCCCCGGGUCAAUCCCGAUGUCCCCAACCCCGGUGUCCCCGUGUCCUUGUCCCUGUGCCAGCAGCGCCACCAGGCCCCUGUCCCCUUCCCCGUCCCCAUCCUCGUGUCCCUGUGUCCCUGUCCUUGUCCCCAUCCCCUUAUCCAUGUCCCUGUCCCCGAGUCAAUCCCGAUGUCCCCAACCCCGGUGUCCCUGUGUCCUUGUCCCUGUGCCAGCAGCGCCACCAGGCCCCUGUCCCCGUCCCCGUCCCCAUCCUCGUGUCCCUGUGUCCCUGUCCUUGUCCCCAUCCNAA
RNAcentral lists this long non-coding RNA (1328 nucleotides) under Lonchura striata (white-rumped munia). RNAcentral describes it as "domestica (Bengalese finch) lncRNA (ENSLSDG00000006149.1)". Lineage: Eukaryota; Metazoa; Chordata; Aves; Passeriformes; Estrildidae. The record is from RNAcentral.